Molecule: ribosomal RNA, 440 nt
Filed under: uncultured bacterium
Lineage: Bacteria
Description: partial 16S ribosomal RNA
Rfam family: Bacterial small subunit ribosomal RNA
Source: RNAcentral
CCUACGGGGGGCAGCAGUGGGGGAUAUUGCACAAUGGGGGGAACCCUGAUGCAGCGACGCCGCGUGGGUGAAGAAGCGCCUCGGCGCGUAAAGCCCUGUCAGCAGGGAAGAAAAUGACGGUACCUGAAGAAGAAGCCCCGGCUAACUACGUGCCAGCAGCCGCGGGAAUACGUAGGGGGCAAGCGUUAUCCGGAUUUACUGGGUGUAAAGGGGGCGCAGACGGCGAUGCAAGCCAGGAGUGAAAGCCCGGGGCCCAACCCCGGGACUGCUCUUGGAACUGCGUGGCUGGAGUGCAGGAGGGGCAGGCGGAAGUCCUGGUGUAGCGGUGAAAUGCGUAGAUAUCAGGAGGAACACCGGUGGCGAAGGCGGCCUGCUGGACUGCAACUGACGUUGAGGCCCGAAAGCGUGGGGAGCAAACAGGAUUAGAUACCCGAGUAGUC